Molecule: ribosomal RNA, 160 nt
Filed under: Listeria monocytogenes
Lineage: Bacteria; Bacillati; Bacillota; Bacilli; Caryophanales; Listeriaceae
Description: partial 16S ribosomal RNA
Rfam family: Bacterial small subunit ribosomal RNA
Source: RNAcentral
UUUAAAGAGAGUUUGAUCCUGGCUCAGGACGAACGCUGGCGGCGUGCCUAAUACAUGCAAGUCGAACGAACGGAGGAAGAGCUUGCUCUUCCAAUGUUAGUGGCGGACGGGUGAGUAACACGUGGGCAACCUGCCUGUAAGUUGGGGAUAACUCCGGGAA